This 157-nucleotide ribosomal RNA is filed under the name uncultured Lactobacillus sp. RNAcentral describes it as "partial 16S ribosomal RNA". It matches the Rfam family "Bacterial small subunit ribosomal RNA", at positions 335 to 484 of the family's 1533-position model. Lineage: Bacteria; Bacillati; Bacillota; Bacilli; Lactobacillales; Lactobacillaceae. The record is from RNAcentral.
ACUCCUACGGGAGGCAGCAGUAGGGAAUCUUCCACAAUGGACGCAAGUCUGAUGGAGCAACGCCGCGUGAGUGAAGAAGGUUUUCGGAUCGUAAAGCUCUGUUGUUGGUGAAGAAGGACAAGGGUAGUAACUGAUUUUUGUUUGACGGUAAUCAACC